GCUAAGCAUAAAACAACAUCAAGAAGAAGAUGUCAAGAAGAAGAGGAUAAUCGCCCUCAAGUCCACUACUCAACUCGAUGAGAAAUUCAAAGAAACAGAAAAUGAAGAGCAAGAUAAAGAAAUGAUCCUCAUCACUAAAAAGUUUAAAAGAUUUUUGAAGAAAAAAAAAUAAGGGAUAAGGAAAAGACCACCUACAAAAGGAGAGCAUAGCA
Molecule: long non-coding RNA, 212 nt
Filed under: Elaeis guineensis (African oil palm)
Lineage: Eukaryota; Viridiplantae; Streptophyta; Magnoliopsida; Arecales; Arecaceae
Description: long non-coding RNA (EGUI_LNC043418)
Source: RNAcentral